GCCUGUGUGGCUCAGUCGGUUGGGCGUCCGACUUCAACUCAGGUCAUGAUUUUGCAGCUCGUAAGUUCGAGCCCCACCUCGGGCC
This 85-nucleotide transfer RNA is filed under the name Felis catus (domestic cat). It matches the Rfam family "tRNA". Rfam says of the family: Transfer RNA (tRNA) molecules are approximately 80 nucleotides in length. Their secondary structure includes four short double-helical elements and three loops (D, anti-codon, and T loops). The record is from Rfam by way of RNAcentral. Lineage: Eukaryota; Metazoa; Chordata; Mammalia; Carnivora; Felidae. RNAcentral also lists the same sequence under 2 other names.